UACCAGCUCUCCGAGUGGUGUGGAUGUUUAUUGGGCCUAAAGCAUCCGUAGCUGGCUGGACAAGUCCCCUGUUAAAUCCACCGAUUUAAUCGUUGGAGUGCGGGGGAUACUGUUCGGCUAGGGGACGGGAGAGGCAGACGGUAUUUCCGGGGUAGGGGUGAAAUCCUAUAAUCCCGUGAAGACCACCAGUGGCGAAGGCUGUCUGCUAGAACGCGCCCGACGGCGAGGGAUGAAAGCUGGGGGAGCGAACCGGAUUAGAUACCCGGGUAGUCCCAGCUGUAAACGAUGCAGGCUAGGUGUUUGGACGGCCACGUGCCGUUCUAGUGCCGCAGGGAAGCCGUUAAGCCUGCCGCCUGGGGAGUACGGCCGCAAGGCUGAAAACUUAAAGGAAUUGGCGGGGGAGCACCACAAGGGGUGAAGCUUGCGGUUU
Molecule: ribosomal RNA, 430 nt
Filed under: uncultured archaeon
Lineage: Archaea
Description: bacterial SSU rRNA
Rfam family: Archaeal small subunit ribosomal RNA
Source: RNAcentral